UCACUUCAGCAGCAAGUAUACUAAAAUUAGAAUUAUACAGAAAAGAUUAACAUGGCCCCUGCACAAGGGUCACACGCAAAUUCAUGAAGCAUUCCAAAAUGAA
Molecule: small nuclear RNA, 103 nt
Organism: Hyaena hyaena (striped hyena)
Lineage: Eukaryota; Metazoa; Chordata; Mammalia; Carnivora; Hyaenidae
Source: RefSeq, a predicted model, not a curated record